This 681-nucleotide ribosomal RNA is filed under the name Banisteriopsis malifolia. Its description in RNAcentral is "eukaryotic LSU rRNA". The stretch from base 232 to 387 matches the Rfam family "5.8S ribosomal RNA". Lineage: Eukaryota; Viridiplantae; Streptophyta; Magnoliopsida; Malpighiales; Malpighiaceae. The record is from RNAcentral.
CCUGCCCAGCAGAACGACUCGCGAACCGUGGUUACAUCGUGCCGAGGGGCGACGGGGCCACUCGCCCCGCCGUUUCCCGGACGCAGCCCGUCGCAUGGCCUCGGGCGCCCGACGGGACUCGCAACCAACCCCGGCGCAGAACGCGCCAAGGAAAACGAAAUCGAGGAGGAUCGUCCCUGCGCUCCCGGAGACGGGGCGCGCUCGGACGUCCCGCCCAAUGUCGAACAAAACGACUCUCGGCAACGGAUAUCUCGGCUCUCGCAUCGAUGAAGAACGUAGCAAAAUGCGAUACUUGGUGUGAAUUGCAGAAUCCCGUGAACCAUCGAGUCUUUGAACGCAAGUUGCGCCCGAAGCCUUCUGGCCGAGGGCACGUCUGCCUGGGUGUCACACAACGUUGUCCCCAAACCCAUCCCGAGAGGGAAGGGAGGGACGGAAGCUGGUCUCCCGUGGCGAUCCGUCGCGGUUGGCCGAAUCCCAAGUCCGGGAGAGGGGAGCCGCGACUAACGGUGGUUGAACGACCCUCGGCUCAGGCCGUGGCCUUUUUCGCGAGGAGACGGGCUCAAGACCCGCGUCGCUUGGGCGCCUUCAAUCGCGACCCCAGGUCAGGCGGGACUACCCGCUGAGUUUAAGCAUAUCAAUAAGCGGAGGAAAAGAAACUUACCAGGAUUCCCCUAGUAACGG